GCCAGCGUGGUACAGUGGUUUGAAUGUUGGAUUAUGACUCUGGAGACCAGGGUUCGAAUCCAUGCUUGUUCA
Molecule: transfer RNA, 72 nt
Filed under: Phrynosoma platyrhinos (Desert horned lizard)
Lineage: Eukaryota; Metazoa; Chordata; Lepidosauria; Squamata; Phrynosomatidae
Description: tRNA-OTHER
Source: RNAcentral